GAGGGUAUAGCUCAAGCAGUAGAGCGCAUGCCUAGCAUGUGCAAGGUCCUGGGUUCAAUCCCCAGCACCUCCU
Molecule: transfer RNA, 73 nt
Filed under: Camelus bactrianus (Bactrian camel)
Lineage: Eukaryota; Metazoa; Chordata; Mammalia; Artiodactyla; Camelidae
Also listed under: 2 other names
Rfam family: tRNA
About the family: Transfer RNA (tRNA) molecules are approximately 80 nucleotides in length. Their secondary structure includes four short double-helical elements and three loops (D, anti-codon, and T loops).
Source: Rfam by way of RNAcentral